RNAcentral lists this ribosomal RNA (497 nucleotides) under uncultured bacterium. RNAcentral's name for it is "partial 16S ribosomal RNA". It matches the Rfam family "Bacterial small subunit ribosomal RNA", at positions 28 to 507 of the family's 1533-position model. The record is from RNAcentral.
GAUGAACGCUGGCGGCGUGCCUAAUACAUGCAAGUCGAGCGAACAGACGAGGAUCUUGCUCCUCUGACGUUAGCGGCGGACGGGUGAGUAACACGUGUAUAACCUACCUAUAAGACUGGGAUAACUUCGGGAAACCGGAUCUAAUACCGGAUAAUAUAUUGAACCGCAUGGUUCUAUAGUGAAAGACGGUUUUGCUGUCACUUAUAGAUGUAUCCGCGCCGCAUUAGCUAGUUGGUAAGGUAACGGCUUACCAAGGCAACGAUGCGUAGCCGACCUGAGAGGGUGAUCAGUCACACUGGAACUGAGACACGGUCCAGACUCCUACGGGAGGCAGCAGUAGGGAAUCUUCCACAAUGGGCGAAAGCCUGACGGAGCAACGCCGCGUGAGUGAUGAAGGUCUUCGGAUCGUAAAACUCUGUUAGUAGGGAAGAACAAAAGUGUAAGUAACUAUGCACGUCUUGACGGUACCUAAAGAGUAAGCACCGGCUAACUACGUG